Molecule: small RNA, 209 nt
Organism: Xenorhabdus innexi
Lineage: Bacteria; Pseudomonadati; Pseudomonadota; Gammaproteobacteria; Enterobacterales; Morganellaceae
Rfam family: GlmZ RNA activator of glmS mRNA
About the family: This RNA was discovered in E. coli during a large scale screen. The sraJ gene was expressed in early logarithmic phase, but its level decreased with cell growth. Specific cleavage products of this RNA were found.
Source: Rfam
GUAGAUACUCAUCCCACUCCUUAUGACAGUAUAGCUUCAUAAACCUCGGGAUGAUGUAGAGCUGAUUGUUGGUGCCUAUGGUCCAUGUUAUAGAUGAGUAAGUCUAUUGUCUUUUCAUCACGAACCGGACAUAACGUUGAGUGAGGCACUAUCCGUCUGUAGACCUGAUUGUAUUUAUGCACCUGUCUUAUCGCGGCAGGUGUUUUUUU